UAGGGAAUCUUCGGCAAUGGGGGGAACCCUGACCGAGCAACGCCGCGUGAGUGAAGAAGGUUUUCGGAUCGUAAAGCUCUGUUGUUAAGGAAGAACGAGUGUGAGAAUGGAAAGUUCAUGCUGUGACGGUACUUAACCAGAAAGGGACGGCUAACUACGUGCCAGCAGCCGCGGUAAUACGUAGGUCCCGAGCGUUGUCCGGAUUUAUUGGGCGUAAAGCGAGCGCAGGCGGUUAGAAAAGUCUGAAGUGAAAGGCAGUGGCUCAACCAUUGUAGGCUUUGGAAACUGUUUAACUUGAGUGCAGAAGGGGAGAGUGGAAUUCCAUGUGUAGCGGUGAAAUGCGUAGAUAUAUGGAGGAACACCGGUGGCGAAAGCGGCUCUCUGGUCUGUAACUGACGAGGAGGCUCGAAAGCGUGGGGAGCGAACAGG
This 429-nucleotide ribosomal RNA is filed under the name Bacteroidota bacterium. RNAcentral describes it as "Bacteroidetes bacterium partial 16S ribosomal RNA". It matches the Rfam family "Bacterial small subunit ribosomal RNA", at positions 355 to 776 of the family's 1533-position model. The record is from RNAcentral. Lineage: Bacteria; Pseudomonadati; Bacteroidota.